ACUUUCAAGCACACUGCGCAUGCGCAGAUCAGCCUGCACGGCGCACGCACAGUCGACCAGUGUACUAGUGUAGGCACACCCGAACCUUGAUGUGAAAAACCUGCACAGUUUUCUUUGUUAGUGCUGUAUUUAAAUAAUCUUGAACGGUUUAGGCUGAGACAUCUAAAGUACCUGACUUCUGAAAUACAAAUACCUGACGUAUGCUGAGCUCCUAUCCUGUCACACCCGGUGUCCCGCCAUGCAGCAGCGUCGGAGCUGAACUGGUUCUCGCCAUGCCGUUCGCAAAGGAAGCUGUUCAGGUGAAGAGACGACCUUUUGGAAGGAAUCCAAGAAGCACCAUUGUAAUGGACCGAGUGGUAAAAUGAUCUCCACGGCCCGCAAAACUUAAAACCAGAACUGUUUAACAGACUCCUAAGACCACAUGUAGAAUUUACACGUCACUAAUCUUCCAAGGUUGCUUUGAAAAGUUCAAAGAUCUGUAUUCCCUGGAAACGGAGGCCACAAACUUCAAAUCUCGUGUGACGCCAGAUGUUAAAAGAAACAGCGAAGUUUAUGAGAUGAACUUCCUCCCAACAAGUCGGAUGAAGUUCGGAUCUGAGGAUGAUGGGGGCGACCGGAAACGGUGGAAUUCGGGAGGCUUGAUCGUGGAUUUAAAUUAUCGUUCCUGGCGAGCAAGACGUCCAUUAUCGCCUUCAUCAUUCAGGUAA
Molecule: long non-coding RNA, 707 nt
Organism: Macrobrachium nipponense
Lineage: Eukaryota; Metazoa; Arthropoda; Malacostraca; Decapoda; Palaemonidae
Exons: 5
Source: RefSeq, a predicted model, not a curated record